UUUAGUCAUUUUAUUAACAAAUCUACCUGGAUGCAGAUGCAAGCUAAUAAGUGAAAAGCAAAUGAACAUAGUUGCAUUCAGAUGAUUCAUCUGGAUGCAUGGACGAAAUGAAGACAUCUAGAUGAACCAUCUGAAUGCAUCUUCCAGAUGUACAAACGAACAAGGCCUAACAGUAUAAAAACCCGACUGAACGAAUUUUAUCUGACCGGUUCCGUUCGAGUUUUCAGGUUCAGAUCUUUUGCCUAGGCCUAUGGUGGUUAUACGACGUAGUCAACAUAAGAAACUUGUGAAUUCUUAGUUAAGUGAAGGUUCAUUAAGAGAAGUAGUACCGGUAUGUGACUACUUACUUGACAUUGACCAAUUAAGUUGUUUUGCUACCUAAACUCACCUUUUUGCCUAUUAUUUGUCAAAAUUUAUUGCUUGUGGUGGUGAACUUUGUUUAGAACAUGUAAGAUACUAGUUCUCACUUCU
Molecule: long non-coding RNA, 471 nt
Filed under: Brassica napus (rape)
Lineage: Eukaryota; Viridiplantae; Streptophyta; Magnoliopsida; Brassicales; Brassicaceae
Description: long non-coding RNA (BNAP_LNC016492)
Source: RNAcentral